UGUCACAGCUAUAUCACUCUUCAGCCCAAGACCGGUUACUCACUGAAGCUAAGCAGGGCUGAACCUGGUCAGUACCUGGAUGGGAAACCACAUGGAAAAGCUAGGUUGCUAUUGGAA
Ribosomal RNA from Danio rerio (zebrafish), 117 nucleotides. The record is from Ensembl. NCBI's taxonomy places the organism in Eukaryota, Metazoa, Chordata, Actinopteri, Cypriniformes, Danionidae.